GGAAAAUCUGAAAUAUGUUUUAAUGUGCUUAUAGUUAAUGUACUGUGUUGUUUAGAUUUAUUAAUCAUACGAAAAUAAUUUACAUUUAAAAUUACUAGGUAUACUACAUUUAUAUUUACGUGUACUACCCGUGCACUACAUCCGACAGUUUGAUUUCCGAAACAAGUGUACGGUGGCCGAGAGUCGCGUCAGACCUGCAUUAGCGCUUUUACAGUGGAAGUAGGCCAGUGGACUUCUGCUGCUGCUAAGCAACCGCUCUUUACACAAGCAAAGGCACACGCUUGUUAACGCUUGUGAGGAUGAACUGUUGUAACAAAUGAGGGACUUUGAGGCCAGUGUGGAUGGAGCUCACUGUUUCAGGGUGCUGUGUUCGCACCCAUGCUGCUGGGACACCGAGCGCCGCUGCACCAGAGGAAUCAAACGCCACAAUCCAGCACGCGUGAGGAAACACUCUCUCAAAAAUGGAGCAGAGGACUUUCCAUCUCUGAGUAUAGUUAAUGUCUCUGAAUGGGCUGGACGGGGGAGACCGAUUAAAGAAAGGCCACUGUACGGUGCUGACACAGAGGCAUCUUUGAAUGAUGCCUCUUGUGUUUCUCUCAGCAAACAGACACAAGACACUCAGAAGAUUAAGAGGGCAAAUCUUUCCUUCCCAGACAUCAUGUUGCCCAGCGAUAAACCAAACAAUAUGCUCAAGUUAAAUACAGUUGAGAUCAGUCCUUUGAUGGGCCGCUCUGAGUUGCCACAGUGUCCACUGGUUAUGUGGAUUCCCAACCCGCACCACGAGCCUCAGUGGCUCCGCCAAAACAAGUCUAAAUCUCCAAACAUCACUAUAAAAGAGUUAGUCUGCCUUCCAUCCAAGCCGUCCAUCGAGGCCAACCAGCGGAAGAAGUGUAACGGUCAUAAAAGUAGAGGUAAGAGAGGAAUUAAUGCUACACAAGAGGGCGCUGGCAGCCCACGGUGGGUGGGCAUUGGCUUUAAUCCCAUUCCCAAAACCACCCCACAUCACCUCUCCCACAGCCUAGCAUUCAAAGAUAGUGGGUGGGGAUCAUUGGAUCAAAAACUGCCAAGCCUAACCACACCACACCCAAACCCAAAGAGCAGUAGUGUCAGUCCAGCCUUGAGCCUGAGUUUAGAAUCAGUAAAGUGCUGGAGAGGCCACUGAAACAGACUUAAACAGAUCUCAUACUUAUGCCACAUUAAGAAGACAAAGGUGUUUAACUGUAAAUGAAAAGUCUGUUCCAUAAGUAGUUAGUCGUGUCCAAUGAUUGUCUUGAAAGUCAAUUCCUAUUUUAAACAUAGACUAGUUUCAACAAAUAAUUAAAAUGUAGCCUACAUGGUUUGUUUUUCACAGCCUGAACAGUUAAUUUAUUCACGAAUGUGCAUUAUGAUGAUAAACAGCAGGUGGCAGAGCAGAUCAGAGUGAUUCAAAUCCUAACUGAACUGAACUCGGAAAGUGACUCCAUCAAAUAUAGUGUGUGUUCGGCUGAUAUAUGCUAUAUGAAUAGAACUGCAGUUGACAAUUAUCAACAAACAUGCA
RNAcentral lists this long non-coding RNA (1537 nucleotides) under Sinocyclocheilus grahami. Its description in RNAcentral is "lncRNA (ENSSGRG00000043758.1)". Lineage: Eukaryota; Metazoa; Chordata; Actinopteri; Cypriniformes; Cyprinidae. The record is from RNAcentral.